RNAcentral lists this ribosomal RNA (991 nucleotides) under Kosakonia sp. RNAcentral describes it as "bacterial SSU rRNA". It matches the Rfam family "Bacterial small subunit ribosomal RNA", at positions 466 to 1463 of the family's 1533-position model. Lineage: Bacteria; Pseudomonadati; Pseudomonadota; Gammaproteobacteria; Enterobacterales; Enterobacteriaceae. The record is from RNAcentral.
CGAUUGUCGUACCGCAGAAGAAGCACCGGCUAACUUCGUGCAGCAGCAGCGGUAAUACGGAGGGUGCAAGCGUUAUCGGAAUACUGGGCGUAAAGCGCACGCAGGCGGUCUGUCAAGUCGGAUGUGAAAUCCCCGGGCUCAACCUGGAACUGCAUCCGAAACUGGCAGGCUUGAGUCUCGUAGAGGGGGGUAGAAUUCCAGGUGUAGCGGUGAAAUGCGUAGAGAUCUGGAGGAAUACCGGUGGCGAAGGCGGCCCCCUGGACGAAGACUGACGCUCAGGUGCGAAAGCGUGGGGAGCAAACAGGAUUAGAUACCCUGGUAGUCCACGCCGUAAACGAUGUCGACUUGGAGGUUGUGCCCUUGAGGCGUGGCUUCCGGAGCUAACGCGUUAAGUCGACCGCCUGGGGAGUACGGCCGCAAGGUUAAAACUCAAAUGAAUUGACGGGGGCCCGCACAAGCGGUGGAGCAUGUGGUUUAAUUCGAUGCAACGCGAAGAACCUUACCUGGUCUUGACAUCCACAGAACUUGGCAGAGAUGCCUUGGUGCCUUCGGGAACUGUGAGACAGGUGCUGCAUGGCUGUCGUCAGCUCGUGUUGUGAAAUGUUGGGUUAAGUCCCGCAACGAGCGCAACCCUUAUCCUUUGUUGCCAGCGGUUCGGCCGGGAACUCAAAGGAGACUGCCAGUGAUAAACUGGAGGAAGGUGGGGAUGACGUCAAGUCAUCAUGGCCCUUACGACCAGGGCUACACACGUGCUACAAUGGCGCAUACAAAGAGAAGCGAUCUCGCGAGAGCCAGCGGACCUCAUAAAGUGCGUCGUAGUCCGGAUUGGAGUCUGCAACUCGACUCCAUGAAGUCGGAAUCGCUAGUAAUCGUGAAUCAGAAUGUCACGGUGAAUACGUUCCCGGGCCUUGUACACACCGCCCGUCACACCAUGGGAGUGGGUUGCAAAAGAAGUAGGUAGCUUAACCUUCGGGAGGGCGCUUACCACUUG